ACUCAAAUGAAUAGACGGGGGCCCGCACAAGCAGUGGAGUAUGUGGUUUAAUUCGAAGCAACGCGAAGAACCUUACCAGGGCUUGACAUCCCUUGACCGCUGUAGAAAUACAGUUUCCCUUCGGGGCAAGGAGACAGGUGGUGCAUGGUUGUCGUCAGCUCGUGUCGUGAGAUGUUGGGUUAAGUCCCGCAACGAGCGCAACCCCUGUCGUUAGUUGCCAGCACGUAGAGGUGGGCACUCUAGCGAGACUGCCGGUGACAAAUCGGAGGAAGGUGGGGACGACGUCAAAUCAUCAUGCCCCUUAUGUCCUGGGCUACACACGUACUACAAUGGUUGCUACAGAGGGCAGCGAAGCCGCGAGGUGGAGCAAAUCCCUAAAAGCAGCCCCAGUUCGGAUUGCAGGCUGAAACUCGCCUGCAUGAAGUCGGAAUUGCUAGUAAUGGCAGGUCAGCAUACUGCCGUGAAUACGUUCCCGGGCCUUGCACACACCGCCCGU
RNAcentral lists this ribosomal RNA (496 nucleotides) under uncultured bacterium. Its description in RNAcentral is "bacterial SSU rRNA". It matches the Rfam family "Bacterial small subunit ribosomal RNA", at positions 899 to 1397 of the family's 1533-position model. The record is from RNAcentral.